GACGAACGCUGGCGGCGUGCUUAACACAUGCAAGUCGAACGAAGAGCGAUGGAAGCUUGCUUCUAUCAAUCUUAGUGGGGAACGGGUGAGUAACGCGUAAUCAACCUGCCUUCAGAGGGGGACAACAGUUGGAAACGACAGCUAAUACCGCAUACGAUCUAAUCUCGGCAUCGAGGAUAGAUGAAAGGUGGCCUCUACAUGUAAGCUAUCACUGAAGGAGGGGAUUGCGUCUGAUUAGCUAGUUGGAGGGGUAACGGCCCACCAAGGCGAUGAUCAGUAGCCGGUCUGAGAGGAUGAACGGCCACAUUGGGACUGAGACACGGCCCAGACUUCUACGGGAGGCAGCAGUGGGGAAUCUUCCGCAAUGGACGAAAGUCUGACGGAGCAACGCCGCGUGAGUGAUGACCGGCUUCGGGUUGUAAAGCUCUGUUAAUCGGGACGAAAGGCCUUCUUGCGAAUAGUGAGAAGGAUUGACGUACCGGAAU
Molecule: ribosomal RNA, 485 nt
Filed under: Veillonella parvula
Lineage: Bacteria; Bacillati; Bacillota; Negativicutes; Veillonellales; Veillonellaceae
Description: bacterial SSU rRNA
Rfam family: Bacterial small subunit ribosomal RNA
Source: RNAcentral